UGGGUUUGUUGUUGGUGAGGAAAAGAAUGAUUCUAAGCAAAGAAAAGUGAGGCAAAUAGAUGAGACAAAAAUGCGAUGGGUUUUUAGUCUUCGGCAGAGAGAUGCAUAGGCGGAGACUAACACUAUAUUUGGAUGAUGGUUUGAUAUGAUUUUAUAUUUUAUAUAUAUCACCCUAUGUAUUAGGAAGAUUGUUCAUAAAAAAUGGUGGUCUGGG
This 214-nucleotide unclassified non-coding RNA is filed under the name Hevea brasiliensis (rubber tree). Lineage: Eukaryota; Viridiplantae; Streptophyta; Magnoliopsida; Malpighiales; Euphorbiaceae. The record is from RNAcentral.